This 360-nucleotide ribosomal RNA is filed under the name Triatoma infestans. Its description in RNAcentral is "partial 16S ribosomal RNA". The stretch from base 60 to 268 matches the Rfam family "Archaeal large subunit ribosomal RNA", at positions 1792 to 2108 of the family's 2987-position model. Lineage: Eukaryota; Metazoa; Arthropoda; Insecta; Hemiptera; Reduviidae. The record is from RNAcentral.
ACUUGAAUGAUUGAUUUAAUUUGUGAUUUAUUGUAAUAAUGAUUGAAUUAGUAUCUUAGUUAAUUAAGUCAUAGGAACUCGGCAAGUUCAAUGCCCGCCUGUUUAACAAAAACAUGUCCUUUUGUUUAUUUAUUUAAGGUCUGACCUGCCCAAUGAGGAAUUGAAUGGCCGCAGUAUUUUAACUGUGCUAAGGUAGCAUAAUCAUUUGUCUUUUAAUUGAGGGCUGGAAUGAAGGGUUGGACGAGGUAUUAACUUUCUUUGAUUUAAUGAGGAGAAUUUAAUUUUUGAGUUAAAAAGCUUAAAUUUAUUUGUGGGACGAGAAGACCCUAUAGAUCUUUAUAGUUUUAUAUUUUAAUAAUU